AAAAUGCGAUAAGUAAUGUGAAUUGCAGAAUUCGGUGAAUCAUCGAAUCUUUGAACGCACAUUGCGCCCGCCAGUAUUCUGGCGGGCAUGCCUGUUCGAGCGUCAUUUCAACCCUCAAGCUCAGCUUGGUGUUGGGACUCGCGGUAACCCGCGUUCCCCAAAUCGAUUGGCGGUCACGUCGAGCUUCCAUAGCGUAGUAAUCAUACACCUCGUUACUGGUAAUCGUCGCGGCCACGCCGUAAAACCCCAACUUCUGAAUGUUGACCUCGGAUCAGGUAGGAAUACCCGCUGAACUUAAGC
RNAcentral lists this unclassified non-coding RNA (300 nucleotides) under plant metagenome. RNAcentral's name for it is "partial contains 5.8S ribosomal RNA, internal transcribed spacer 2, and large subunit ribosomal RNA". The stretch from base 1 to 105 matches the Rfam family "5.8S ribosomal RNA", at positions 50 to 154 of the family's 154-position model. The record is from RNAcentral.